Molecule: ribosomal RNA, 465 nt
Filed under: uncultured Verrucomicrobiota bacterium
Lineage: Bacteria; Pseudomonadati; Verrucomicrobiota
Description: bacterial SSU rRNA
Rfam family: Bacterial small subunit ribosomal RNA
Source: RNAcentral
CCUACGGGAGGCUGCAGUCGAGGAUCAUUCGCAAUGGGCGAAAGCCUGACGAUGCGACGCUGCGUGGAGGAUGAAGGCCUUCGGGUUGUAAACUCCUGUCAUGAGGGAAGAGGAGAGUGUCACUAACAUUGACGCGAUUUGACGGUACCUCAAGAGGAAGCCACGGCUAACUCUGUGCCAGCAGCCGCGGUAAUACAGAGGUGGCGAGCGUUGUUCGGAUUUACUGGGCGUAAAGGGCGCGUAGGCCGCGCGGUAUGUAGGGUGUGAAAUCUCCGGGCCCAACCCGGAAAGUGCGCCCUAAACUGCCGCGCUCGAGUGCGGGAGGGGAGAUCGGAAUGCAUGGUGUAGCGGUGAAAUGCGUUGAUAUCAUGCAGAACACCGGUGGCGAAGGCGGAUCUCUGGAACGCAACUGACGCUGAGGCGCGAAAGUGUGGGGAGCAAACAGGAUUAGAUACCCGAGUAGUC